This is a long non-coding RNA of Zingiber officinale, 1974 nucleotides long. RefSeq lists it as uncharacterized. The transcript has 2 exons. The record is from RefSeq and is a predicted model, not a curated record. NCBI's taxonomy places the organism in Eukaryota, Viridiplantae, Streptophyta, Magnoliopsida, Zingiberales, Zingiberaceae.
UCCAACCUACGAUCUCUUCACCUACUUCACAUUUUUCUUUCUUGAUCUCUUCACACUAGUGAACCUCAUCUAUGCAGGCGAACCCCUCAAACGCCUUUGUGUUUUCCAUCCUAAACCUAUGCCUAAACGUCUUCCCGAACCUUAAGUAGAAAAACACGUCUCCAUCUAACCUAUGCUCUCUUCGCCUAGCUCUUUGCAUUUUGAUGAACUGGGAGGGGGAGAGCUUCCCCUCUGCAUUCUUUUCCUCGCCCCACAUGCCACCACCGAAGCCCUCUCCCAUAGCCUCGCCAUCGCCAGUGGCCUCCCGCCCCUCCUCCAGCUUUGCCACCACCUCGCUGCCACCAAAAUCCCCCCGACUUCUCUGAGGAGCUCUUCUUCAUCUUGUAAGAGGCGAGGAUAAACCAAGCACUGUUGCAGGACCGGGAAUAAUGGAGGGACGCAAUGGUCGUGGUGGACUUGGAUAGAAGGUUCUAGGUCUUCGAUGAUCUGGUGCAGAGGGCCUCCAAGGUGGUGUCUCCUGAGGAUGUCGGUGAAAGGGGAGCUGAGGAGGUGGGAUUCAAGGUUUGGUCUGAUGUGGCAGUGCCUAGAUUUAGGAGGAGUUUGAGCUUGAUUGGUAAGGAGAAGGAUGGAGAAGGAUGGCAAGUAGGAUAAUUAGCUCGAACGACAUAUGGUCAUAAUAAAUCCAAGGAUGCUUCGAGAACACAUGAUUCAAUACAUGUAGACCAUUUGAUUAGAGAUGAUCCUUCAAAUGUAAAAGCAUAUGAUUUUGAGUCCCAUCUUCCUGUUGAAGAACUUUUCAAGAGAGUUUCUUUUCGUUGGAAAAAUUUUGUUGAGAGUUUGCAAGGAUGCACAGAGAAGUAUGAUAUAAUUCUUUGGUAUGUUUCUUUAACAAACUAAGCCUAGUGUGAUACAUCUUUAUCUUUCAGGUUUGACUUAUGGCUUGUCUUUCUUCUAUUUGAUGAUAUAUAUUAGCUUGAUGAAUAAGGAUAUCACUCUGCAGUACAUCUUUAUACCAAUGUCAUGCACAUAGUACUAUUUAGAUUUGUUAUUUGCAUAACUUGCUAACGUGGAGUAUGUUAUGAUAAGAUCAUAAAGUGUGAAAGGUUGUUGCUUUGGAGUUUGGCUGGUAGAGAUGACAGCUGAUUCUAACAUGGGUUCCUACCAAGCAAAUCGACCUUCAUCUUUCCAUCAUCCCCUCAUGGUUUCUUUCCAGUUAGGUGCAAUAAAUAGCUUGACUGGCAUGGUUAUGACAGCUGUAGUUUGGCUGGUAACUGGCAUGGUUCCAGUUAGGUGCAAUAAAUAGCUUCAUCUUUCCAUCAUCCCCUCAUGAUUUGUUCUUCAUGAACCAAUGCCAGGGUUUGAACAUGUGUCAGGCUCGCCUGCAUCUGAACAAUCCACCUUCGUUCCCUUUUCAACGGGGGUGGAUCCAUAAUUACACUAAUAUACCUCAGGCAUGGCUGGAAAAAUUGUUUCAUCUUCUUACAAGGUUUUAUAGUGUUUGUUUCAUCAUCUUAGAAGUGUUCAUAAGAGAUUCCCUCUUCUAUAUAGUUCUCUGUAAAGUCAUUACUGGUACUUAUCCCUAAACUAUUUCAUGCAUGUGUAUCAACAUUGGCCUCAAGAGUUUGCCCGAGGAUUAAUUUUUUUCUGCUUUGAAAUGGUUUGCAUCAUUACUUACAUUUUUUGACUCUUGUUUUGGUAACUGAAUCUUUUACUUUUUGUUGAUACCAGGGGAGUAGCUUUCCUUAGAUAUUUUCAAGUAAAACAGUUGCCUGAUUUUUUUCUUGCAUCGCUGACUCUAUCUCUAGUUAUUGGCUCAGUUAUUCUUUACUCAAAUUUACUAUAUGAAGCUUUUUAGCCAUUACAUAUGCACAAGAAAAAUGAUUUUACUCGUGUCAAAGUCAGUUGAAGCAAAUAAAAGUUCAGAUGCUCCCCAUGCUUCAGCAAAUGAUAUGUCUUAUAAUAAUGGUCAAGGUA